RNAcentral lists this ribosomal RNA (366 nucleotides) under Triticum aestivum (bread wheat). Its description in RNAcentral is "partial small subunit ribosomal RNA". The record is from RNAcentral. Lineage: Eukaryota; Viridiplantae; Streptophyta; Magnoliopsida; Poales; Poaceae.
AUGACCUUAACUCUGAAAACUGCAAGUUUAACCUGCUCUGAAAUCUCAGAGUUUGUUAGAAGAAACUAUAUUGUUGAUGUGGCUCUUUCACAGUUUUCAUUUCUAAUAAAAUGUGAAGGUGCAACUAUCCUGAAGAAUGAUUAUGUAAAAAGAAAGUUGUAUCAGCAUCGAAGUGAAGAACUGGUGCGGCAGAGCGCACCUUUCCUUCUUGUAAUGAUACCAUGUCCAGUGAAUGCAACACCUAAAACGUCUGCAUAUAAAAUUGCAGUUCGUGGCCGUGCACCUCUUGAUACAGCACCUUGUCCUGGUAGAGUCAGUCCGCUGGAAGAAAUGAUCAGGAGGUAUGCUGAUAAGCCCAUCCGAUAA